AUGUUAUGUUGGAACUUGCAUGGAUUUCUUCACAUUUAUUUAUAUAGGUAUAUUGGGUGGUAUGACAGUUCCUUUAACAUAAAUAAAAAAGGAGAAGAUAAAGAGAUGCAUGAAAAGAGUGUAGUUCAGUGGUCAAAUGACCACUCGAUAGCUUGGAGGGGGGAAAGUGAUUUAUUCGAACGACAAGCCUCUGAUGGAGAUACUCUUCUGGAACAUCCAAAGUUUCAAGCAACAACGGAGGAACUUGAUUCGUUUCUUAGACGGAGACAUACCUGA
Molecule: long non-coding RNA, 276 nt
Filed under: Vicia faba (fava bean)
Lineage: Eukaryota; Viridiplantae; Streptophyta; Magnoliopsida; Fabales; Fabaceae
Source: RNAcentral